This 500-nucleotide ribosomal RNA is filed under the name uncultured Glomeromycotina. Its description in RNAcentral is "partial small subunit ribosomal RNA". It matches the Rfam family "Eukaryotic small subunit ribosomal RNA", at positions 591 to 1092 of the family's 1831-position model. The record is from RNAcentral. Lineage: Eukaryota; Fungi; Glomeromycota.
CCAAUAGCGUAUAUUAAAGUUGUUGCAGUUAAAAAGCUCGUAGUUGAAUUUCGGGGUUAGUAGGUUGGUCAUGCCUCUGGUAUGUACUGGUCUCACUGAUUCCUCCUUCCUUAUGAACCGUAAUGCCAUUAAUUUGGUGUUGCGGGGAAUUUGGACUGUUACUUUGAAAAAAUUAGAGUGUUUAAAGCAAGCUAACGCUUGAAUACAUUAGCAUGGAAUAAUGAAAUAGGACGUUCGAUCUUAUUUUGUUGGUUUCUAGGAUUGACGUAAUGAUUAAUAGGGAUAGUUGGGUGCAUUAGUAUUCAAUUGUCAGAGGUGAAAUUCUUGGAUUUAUUGAAGACUAACUACUGCGAAAGCAUUUGCCAAGGAUGUUUUCAUUAAUCAAGAACGAAAGUUAGGGGAUCGAAGACGGUCAGAUACCGUCGUAGUCUUAACCAUAAACUAUGCCGACUAGGGAUCGGAUGAUGUUAAUUUUUUAAUGACUCAUUCGGCGCCUUACG